UGCGUAGGUGGUUUUUUAAGUCAGUGGUGAAAGCCUACAGCUCAACUGUAGAGGUGCCAUUGAAACUGGGAAACUUGAGUAUGGACGAGGUAGGCGGAAUUUGUGGUGUAGCGGUGAAAUGCAUAGAUACCACAAAGAACACCAAUAGCGAAGGCAGCUUACUGGACCAUAACUGACACUGAGGCACGAAAGCGUGGGUAGCGAACAGGAUUAGAUACCCUGGUAGUCC
RNAcentral lists this ribosomal RNA (229 nucleotides) under uncultured bacterium. RNAcentral describes it as "partial 16S ribosomal RNA". It matches the Rfam family "Bacterial small subunit ribosomal RNA", at positions 568 to 796 of the family's 1533-position model. The record is from RNAcentral.